UGGCGAACGAGUGAGUAACGCGUAGACAACUUGCCCAGAGAUUUGGGAUAACAUCGAGAAAUUGAUGCUAAUACCGAAUAAUAUCACGGACACCCCGGUGUCUGUGAUCAAAGGUGGCUUCGGCUACCGUCUUUGGAUGGGUCUGCGUCUGAUUAGCUUGUUGGUGAGGUAAUGGCUCACCAAGGCGACGAUCAGUAGCUGGUCUGAGAGGAUGAUCAGCCACACUGGGACUGAGAUACGGCCCAGACUCC
This 251-nucleotide ribosomal RNA is filed under the name unidentified marine bacterioplankton. RNAcentral describes it as "partial 16S ribosomal RNA". It matches the Rfam family "Bacterial small subunit ribosomal RNA", at positions 96 to 339 of the family's 1533-position model. RNAcentral also lists the same sequence under 1 other name. The record is from RNAcentral.